CUUCGGAGGAGGGCGAGGCGGGCGGAACAGAGGAGCCGCGCCCCGGGGGCGGGUUCAUGGGCGCUGCCGCGCCCGCCGCACUCCGUCCCGGGGUGGCGGCCGAAGGGCCGGCGAUAGAGCGGCGGUCGAAGGGGAGUGGACGCCUGUUGAGGUUCGACUACUGGAGGAUCCACUGCAUAACCAGCUCAGGCUUUUUAAGUACCUUGUUGUUGGAGACACGAAGUGCACGCCAGCUGAGAUCAGAGUGGCACCCCUGACUAUGCCAGAGAAGCAUGACAACCGCUACCUGAUCUUGUGGGACCAGGACCAGAGGGAUCCACUCUUGAUCAUAGAGUGAGUGUUCCUCAGUUGCCAUCAGUCCAAAAACAUCACCACACCACAAGAGCUGAUGGCGAAGCUUGUAGAAAAGGGAAGAACCAGAAUCCGAGAAUUGGCCAGUUGUGACUUUGUGUGCAUUCACCUUCCGAUUGGCGAUUCAGCGGGCAAGACAAAGAGACCACCCAAAAAAAUGCAUCCCCGUAAAGCCCAGACAAUUAUUCUUCUGUGCAUGAUCGCUAUCACCGCAGUGUGGGUUGCUCCUCAACCCUGAAAGAAUGUAUGGGUUGCUUUGGCAGAAACCAUGAAACAAAAGCACAUCUGCCUCUCGACAUCAUCAACUGAAAACCCCCUGUCGACGUGUCUGGUAGGGGUCCCAGUGGAAGUUGAAAAAUUUCCCAUUUCGUUGCUAAAUCUGAAGAACAAAGUGGAUCGAUCUCCCGGAAAGGUGCAUACCAUCCUCGCUGAUUAUAAGUCCUGGCAAGUAGCAGUCCCAGUGAAACAACCUCUCAUACUGUGGAUUGAGUGGAUCAGAGCCCUUCCCAAAUCUCACCAAGAACCCCAAGAAUUUGAACUUUUAGGUUCAUCUCUUGCUACCCACUGUAUUCAUUUUGAUGUGGAACCUCCAUUUUAUUUCACGCCUCAUUACCUCAAACAGUACAAGGAAACCUUUACUGCUACAAAACGGUGCACUCAGCCCGUAUCCCCCUUCCUUCUACCCUCGAUGACUACCCUCGCUCCCUUGAUCCCGGUAUGUUUUUAAUUUGUGGAGAUAGAGCUUUUGCUGGAAUUCCCACUCGGCUUGUAGGAGGCCCUUGCACCUUCGGCCAGUUGAGCCUGUUUACACCCAACAAUACCCAAAUUGCUAAUUGGCGAAAUGCCUCACAUCCAAUUGGCAACUCCCAGAAAAUUAACCCAUUGAACAGACCAAAAGAAAUAUCAGAAGGUGCAAUGAAGCAGUCCUGCAAAAGAAGAGAUCUUAAGGAUCUCGAUGAUACUUGUGAUGCUGAGGUCACUCAUUGGUCAAAAGCCAAGAGAGUUGCUGUUUCAGUUUUUCUGCCCUGGGUGGCUGCAGCAAAAUCUCUUGGAGAAUUAGGUCACUUAGAAUGCUGGGUUGUUAAGCAAGCCAGAUUGACUUCAACUGCACUCAGUGACCUCCUACAAGACAAACAAAUAACCAGACAGGCGACCCUCCAGAAUCGUGCAGCCAUUGAUUUUCUCCUGUUGUUACAUAAUCACGAUUGCUCGGAAUUUGAGGGACUCUGUUGUAUGGACUUAACCACCAAAAAGAAGAGCAUUGACUCCACAAUCAAAGACAUGCAAGGAAUGAUCUCUAAGAUCAAACAGGAGACAGGAGACUGGGUUUCUCAGCUGUUCUCUGGGUGGGGACCUUCUGGGUGGGUCACUUCUAUUGUUUGCUCUGUUAUCUGGAUUUUUAUCAUGUUGUUUCUCAUUAUUUUUAUGCUUGGCAUGUUUAAAAGAUGUUGUUUGUCCCAAGUGUUUAAUACCCCUUCUGUUAAUGCCCUUGAUGUUGCUGUUGACCUUAUAGCCCCUGACCCUGAGGAACCUGAAAAUGAGCUCCCUGACCCAUGGUUUCAUGACUUACCCCCAAUCUGAAUAUCGCCCAGACCCUCAUUUCUAAAAAAGAAAAAAGGGGGAGAUGUGGUAUCCCCUGAAAAAUGGUUUAUUCCCCCAAACCCCAUCCAGGGUUCAGCCCCCAUGUCUGUCAAACCCAACUGUUAUCUCAUUCCACGCCCACCCCAUGUCCAUCAUCCCAGACCCACCUCCCAGUUCUGGAAUGUUCUCCUCAACUCUGUUCCCCAUUUGGCAAUAUGUUCAAAUCACACCUUUGUGUUUUCCCUGAUUGGUUCUCCCCCUAUGGGGGGAUCCCAUACCCCACCCCUGAAAGUUACUGAUUGGUUCCUGAUUUUUGUACCACCCCUCUUUAAAAAAGGCUUGCAUUCCUUUGUUCUCUGCCUUGUGGUGCUGGCCCGCUUCUGACAAUAAAGGUGCACCGGAACUGCCCUCCCUUAAGACCCCGAGUGGUCCCUUAUCAGCCCUCUGUCGCCACCCCACUUCUUUUGCACCUUAUCACAAUCCGCUCCGGGGUUUAGGAGUCUGAGAUUGUGAUAAGGGGGACUGAAUUUGACAGAUCUGUGGCAGGUGAGGUUGUCACAGUUCUUACAGUGAUGAAUGGUUUUUGGUUUUAAAAGGUAUAAGCAUGGCAUAAAAAAACCAGUGCAACUUCUCUGCAAUUAAGGGUUUGUUCAGUUUAGCUCUGAAACACACAGCUGCAGCUCAAGAGUAAUAUUUGUCUACUUAAUUGGGUAGCACAGUAUCUGUCCUGGCCAUUAGCAGAUGGGUGGUUAUACUGUUAACAACAUGCAUGGUAACAACAUGCUUUAGACAACUAAAACAUUGAUAGACAAUUCAAUGUGUGGCACAGCUGUGUGGGAAAUACUGUCUCAGGCGAGUAAAUUUUUACAUAGCUAAAAUACAUCUGAUGUUCAUACAGGAUUGCUACUGGCUAUUCUUACAGCCUUUUUUACAAUUUACUGUGCUUCCAGUUGGUUGGUGGAUACCCUUACAGCCAUCUCCCUUUCCCUCCCUGUCCACCUGACAAACUCAUUUCAAGAAACUUUUUCUUAUCUACAGAUGAGAGGAAAUUAAUGUUGAGAAGAGAGAUGGAUGCAGAUGUCAGAGGAUGCCCUCUAUUUCCUCUUGAGAUAAUUCAGACAAACCCCUUCUCAGAUACUUUCUGUGGAGGAGAGCCCAGAAGAGGAUGCUGAGCAGCUACUGUAUUAUAGCUCUGAAGUUUUUAUAAAGAAGUGGGAGAAGAAAGCCCUUUGAUCAUUAAAAGGUAUAUGAGCUACUGGGUUGGUGCUUGAUUUUUUUUUUUUUUUCCCUUAGGUAAUUCCUUUGGUGAUAAUAUCUAACUGGUAUAGUGAGCCACAAAAGUAGAAUCUGUAUUUUCCUUUUGGAUAACAGGACCAAAAUUUUCCCCAGAGCCAGAACAAACUUUCAUGGACUAGUGGCUCAAGAACUUGAAAGGACACAGACUGAGAUCUUGGAUCAUUACACUUUGAAUGCAGGGAAUCAUGUAAAUUACAGUAUUUGCAAAUAAUGAGUCAUUGGAAAAAAACCUAAUUGUCAAUCCUAGAGCAAGCAUGUGAAGUGCCUCCUCUAUCAGAUUGUUAUAAUGAUGGAACUGGAAGGUGUGGGGGACAUUUAUACUCAAUUUUGAGAGAUAAUAGAUUUCCAAAUGUGAAAAGAGUCCCAUCUUCCUUAAAACCCACACUAGAAGAAACCUUGUUUUCUAUUCACAGUUCUAGAGGUGUUUCUGAAAACUUGCUGGCCUUUGGGAGGAAGGAUUUCACUGAACUUAUGCUCAAUGUAGUGCUUCCAGGAAUCUAAAUGGUUGUCUAAGCAAAGUUCUGAGUUUUAGAUAAUGAAAGGGCAGUGUAUGUCAGCCUGCUGACAGUCCCCAUGUAAAUGUAGAUUGACAGUUCACAAGAUUUUGAAGGCACAUAUAGUGAGGUAGCUGUUUAGUAUGAGUUUGGUUACAAAUGCUUUCCAGAGGAAUUGUGAAAUGUUUUCAGAGAUGUGCUGCAUGUAGAUAAAAAUGUGAAAAUGCAGUCUAGGAGCUUGAGUUAUAUCCAUAUUUAUUCAUCUGGCUAUAUCUAAAAUAUAGCCACAAUUGCUUUUGGACAAAGUCCCUUAGCAAGAUACUGAGUUUGAAGUUCAAUACACUGAUUAUUGCAGCUUUCAUUUUAUGCUUUAUUACAUGUCAGUAGAUGAAGUUAAUGUAAAAAUGUUGCCUUCAUUACAUAAGAUCUUACCCAUGUUUGUAACUUUUGCUCUAAUAAAUAGUAAUAAAAAAGAAUAAUUGUAAUUGUUCAUGGUAGAUAGGUUUUCCCCCAGUCUUCAAUACUGGUGAUUCCUUACAGGCUUCUAACCAGGUUUUAUCAGUCUUUCCGUUCAUAUGUUCAGAUGCUGAGUGCCUUUUUAGGAUCAUGAAUGACAAAUGGUUGCUACUCAAAGUACUGUUAAUCUAUUACUUUUAUCUAAAAAGAUGUUAUUUUCUUGACAGAAAUAUUUUCUGACUAUUUUGGAGAGCAUUUAUGCCCCUCUUAAGUCUUCCCUUUAGUAUUUUAUACAGUUACAAUGAAGAGGGACUAUUGUAUUUGUUGACUGUGUAAAAUGCUUUCAGUUGCACUGAUGUGACAUACCAAGGGUGUUUUUUCUCUGUGCAAUAUUUGCAGAUUAAAGAUAACAAAACUUCCCCCUCUGUCAAUAUAUAGACAGUUUUGUGUCCAUGAGUACCCAUUUCCUAUGAGACAAGCCUUUUGGUGACAGAUGAGGAAGUAUUUCUUUUUGUUAAUCUGGGGAGAAGGAACUAAAGAUUUCCUUCAGUGUAAAUUUCCAG
Long non-coding RNA from Prinia subflava (tawny-flanked prinia), 4741 nucleotides. RefSeq lists it as uncharacterized. Lineage: Eukaryota; Metazoa; Chordata; Aves; Passeriformes; Cisticolidae. The transcript has 4 exons. The record is from RefSeq and is a predicted model, not a curated record.